CGACUCUGUCGUCUGUCAGUCGGCUGCAGGACCUCAGGAGCAGCACUUGUCCAUGACCAAGUCUCCAAGCAGCAGCAGGAAUGGCUCUUGUCAGGACCCUGAUGGCUGUAUGGCUGCUCUGCUGCCUCAUCACUCUCUGCAGCUCACACACACCAGAACCGUAUUUCCUGGUGACCUUCUCGGCGGUAGCAGAGAACUUAGAACACAGGCAGAAGAUUCAGUCUGAUUGGUUCCCAUUGUAGCCUGUUAGCUUUGCAUGCAUACUGCAGUUCCUAUGGGAUGUCCACUAGU
Molecule: long non-coding RNA, 291 nt
Organism: Engraulis encrasicolus (European anchovy)
Lineage: Eukaryota; Metazoa; Chordata; Actinopteri; Clupeiformes; Engraulidae
Exons: 3
Source: RefSeq, a predicted model, not a curated record